GCCCUGGUGGAGGAGGACAGCCUGGGCGAGGGCCUGGAGGACAUCCUCCUGGCCCUGGUGGAGGAGGACAGCCUGGGCCUGGUGGAGGAGGAGGACAUCCUCCUGGCCCUGGCGGCGGAAAAUAGCCUGAGGGACACUGGUUUCCUGGUCAAGCAAAACAGGUGUGGUCAUCAUUUUCACUCUCAGCUUACAGACACUUAAUGUCAGUUUUCAGUCCUUAAAUUUCUUUGAUGAAAGUUUGACAAAAAUGAUAAGGUCCUAGCAGACGUGUGAAAGAGCAGUUACAGGAUGUGAUUCACUUACCUCUGCCUUGGCCAAACAUUUCGAAACUUUAGAUCCAAACCCUGAAACUGAAAGAGCCCAAUAAACACAAA
Stegastes partitus (bicolor damselfish) is the source of this 374-nucleotide long non-coding RNA. RefSeq lists it as uncharacterized. The transcript is spliced from 2 exons. Lineage: Eukaryota; Metazoa; Chordata; Actinopteri; Pomacentridae. The record is from RefSeq and is a predicted model, not a curated record.